GUACUAUUGAAGAGUCCCAAGCCAGGACGAAACAGCUGUCCAGUAA
Non-coding RNA from Trichobilharzia regenti, 46 nucleotides. NCBI's taxonomy places the organism in Eukaryota, Metazoa, Platyhelminthes, Trematoda, Strigeidida, Schistosomatidae. The record is from Rfam.